GUGAAUCAUCGAAUUUUUGAACGCAAAUUGCACUCCCUGGUAUUCCGGGGAGUAUGCCUGUUUGAGGGUCGUUAGAACAAAAAUCGAAGCGUCGCUCUUUUUUUUUAAGGGUGAUCGCGUCGGAAUUGAGUCGUGUUUUAAAUGUUAUUUCAUGUCAAAGUGGAUUGCAAUUCAUCAAUCUGGCAGGAUUAUAGCGUAUUUAAGGUCAACUUUGAUUAAGAAGGCGCGAUGAACGUAGCAUCUAAGGUAGUACGUUUGAAUUGACGU
This 267-nucleotide unclassified non-coding RNA is filed under the name Glomeraceae sp. RNAcentral's name for it is "partial contains 5.8S ribosomal RNA and internal transcribed spacer 2". The stretch from base 1 to 71 matches the Rfam family "5.8S ribosomal RNA", at positions 84 to 154 of the family's 154-position model. The record is from RNAcentral. Lineage: Eukaryota; Fungi; Glomeromycota; Glomeromycetes; Glomerales; Glomeraceae.